Molecule: ribosomal RNA, 253 nt
Filed under: uncultured bacterium
Lineage: Bacteria
Description: partial 16S ribosomal RNA
Rfam family: Bacterial small subunit ribosomal RNA
Source: RNAcentral
UACGUAGGUGGCAAGCGUUGUCCGGAUUUACUGGGCGUAAAGAGCGCGCAGGCGGUCGGAUCAGUCGAAUGUGAAAGCCCCCGGCUCAACUGGGGAGGGUCAUUCGAUACUGUCCGACUCGAAGGCAGGAGAGGGAAGCGGAAUUCUCGGUGUAGAGGUGAAAUUCGUAGAUAUCGAGAGGAACACCGGUGGCGAAGGCGGGUCUCUGGGCCGAUACUGACGCUGAGGAGCGAAAGCGUGGGGAGCGAACAGG